Molecule: ribosomal RNA, 251 nt
Filed under: uncultured prokaryote
Description: partial 16S rRNA
Rfam family: Bacterial small subunit ribosomal RNA
Source: RNAcentral
ACGUGGGAGGCGAACGUUAUCCGGAUUUACUGGGCGUAAAGCGCGUGUAGGUGGUUCUGUAAGUAGGGCGUGAAAGCUCCUGGCUCAACUGGGAGAGGCCGUUCUAAACUACAGAACUAGAGGAUGGUAGAGGGAGGUGGAAUUCCAGGUGUAGCGGUGGAAUGCGCAGACAUCUGGAGGAACACCAGUGGCGAAGGCGGCCUCCUGGACCAUACCUGACACUCAGACGCGAAAGCUAGGGUAGGAAACGG